AUUGAACGCUGGCGGCAGGCUUAACACAUGCAAGUCGAGCGGAGUGAUGGUGCUUGCACUAUCACUUAGCGGCGGACGGGUGAGUAAUGCUUAGGAAUCUGCCUAUUAGUGGGGGACAACAUCUCGAAAGGGAUGCUAAUACCGCAUACGUCCUACGGGAGAAAGCAGGGGAUCACUUGUGACCUUGCGCUAAUAGAUGAGCCUAAGUCGGAUUAGCUAGUUGGUGGGGUAAAGGCCUACCAAGGCGACGAUCUGUAGCGGGUCUGAGAGGAUGAUCCGCCACACUGGGACUGAGACACAGGCCAGACUCCUACGGGAGGCAGCAGUGGGGAAUAUUGGACAAUGGGGGGAACCCUGAUCCAGCCAUGCCGCGUGUGUGAAGAAGGCCUUAUGGUUGUAAAGCACUUUAAGCGAGGAGGAGGCUCUUUUGGUUAAUACCCAAGAUGAGUGGACGUUACUCGCAGAAUAAGCACCGGCUAACUCUGUGCCAGCAGCCGCCGUAA
Molecule: ribosomal RNA, 503 nt
Filed under: uncultured bacterium
Lineage: Bacteria
Description: partial 16S ribosomal RNA
Rfam family: Bacterial small subunit ribosomal RNA
Source: RNAcentral